Molecule: signal recognition particle RNA, 289 nt
Filed under: Saimiri boliviensis boliviensis (Bolivian squirrel monkey)
Lineage: Eukaryota; Metazoa; Chordata; Mammalia; Primates; Cebidae
Description: Metazoan signal recognition particle RNA (ENSSBOG00000002529.1)
Rfam family: Metazoan signal recognition particle RNA
About the family: The signal recognition particle (SRP) is a universally conserved ribonucleoprotein. It is involved in the co-translational targeting of proteins to membranes.
Source: Rfam by way of RNAcentral
GCCGGGCGUGGUGGCGUGUGCCUGAAGUCCCAGCUACUCCCGAGGCUGGAGGAUAUCUUGAGUCCAGGAGUUCUGGGCUGUAGUCCACCAUGCCGAUUGGGUGUCCGCACUAAGUUCGGCAUCAAUAUGGUGACCUUCUGAGAGUGGGGGACCACCAGGUUGCCUAAGGAGGGGUCAACCGGCCCAGGUCAGAAAUGGAACAGGUCAAAACUCCCGUGCUGAUCAGUAGUGGGAUUGCGCCUGUGAAUAUCCACUGCACUCCAGCCUGGGCAAUAUAGCGAGACCCCGU